RNAcentral lists this long non-coding RNA (409 nucleotides) under Gossypium raimondii (Peruvian cotton). Its description in RNAcentral is "long non-coding RNA (GRAI_LNC009141)". The record is from RNAcentral. Lineage: Eukaryota; Viridiplantae; Streptophyta; Magnoliopsida; Malvales; Malvaceae.
UUCCUUAACCAUGCCUUAAUGAUUGUCCCGUACAAUAAAAAUGAUAUUUUUUGGCGUUGGCGUUGUAAUGGUCGGCACCCAUAUAUAUAUUUGAAAUACCUUAAAAAAAUAUGGGUAUUCUACGAUUUAAAAAGAAAAAGAUAAAAAUACUAUUUUAAUAGGUAUCGGUAUUGAAGUGGUCGGCACCGGUUAAAAAAAAAAAGGAUUGAGGAGGAAGAGAGCUACACUUCAAUUAUGUCAAUUGGCUCGAAAGAUGUCGAUGAUGGCAUAUUGCAUAGUGGAGUGAAUGAGGCAGCUAGGGCAAAUUGAGAAGAAAGAAGAGAAGUAAAAAAUAAAAAAGAAACCAAAACUAAUCUGUAACCAUUAUUGGGGAACAGUUACAAUGAUAAAUCAAUAAAAGAAAAAAAAA